Small nuclear RNA from Dermacentor silvarum, 185 nucleotides. RefSeq annotates it as U2 spliceosomal RNA. The transcript has a single exon. The record is from RefSeq and is a predicted model, not a curated record. NCBI's taxonomy places the organism in Eukaryota, Metazoa, Arthropoda, Arachnida, Ixodida, Ixodidae.
AGACAUGGACGACGGAGGUCAAAGUGUAGUAUUGGUUCAUAUCAGCUUAAUAUCUGAUGCGGGUUGUAUUUGGACCCAAGAUAUGAAACUUUUUUUUUUCAAGUUGGCGGAGGGCUCGAAGCCUGCUUCACCUCCACCGCGGGUCGGCCCGGUAUCGCACUAUAUUCGGCAUCGUCCCAAGGGGA